CAGCCGCCGCGGUAAUACGGAGGGGGCUAGCGUUGUUCGGAAUUACUGGGCGUAAAGCGCACGUAGGCGGCUUGGUAAGUUAGAGGUGAAAGCCUGGAGCUCAACUCCAGAAUUGCCUUUAAGACUGCCGAGCUAGCAGGUGAGAGAGGUAAGUGGAAUUCCGAGUGUAGAGGUGAAAUUCGUAGAUAUUCGGAAGAACACCAGUGGCGAAGGCGGCUUACUGGCUCAUACUGGACACUGAGACACGAAAGCGUGGGGAGCAAACAGGAUUAGAUACCCGCGUAGUCCCUGUCUCUUAUAC
Molecule: ribosomal RNA, 301 nt
Filed under: uncultured bacterium
Lineage: Bacteria
Description: partial 16S ribosomal RNA
Rfam family: Bacterial small subunit ribosomal RNA
Source: RNAcentral